CACUCUGAAUACAAGGGAAUCUAGAUGCUUUUCGUCGCGAAUCCCCACCGUAGCUGCAUUUAGAGAUGUGGCGCUUAAGAAGGUACAGUUGAAAGUCA
Molecule: long non-coding RNA, 98 nt
Organism: Suricata suricatta (meerkat)
Lineage: Eukaryota; Metazoa; Chordata; Mammalia; Carnivora; Herpestidae
Exons: 3
Source: RefSeq, a predicted model, not a curated record